RNAcentral lists this ribosomal RNA (253 nucleotides) under uncultured bacterium. RNAcentral describes it as "partial 16S ribosomal RNA". It matches the Rfam family "Bacterial small subunit ribosomal RNA", at positions 524 to 776 of the family's 1533-position model. The record is from RNAcentral.
UACGUAGGGUGCAAGCGUUAAUCGGAAUUACUGGGCGUAAAGGGUGCGCAGGCGGUUUGUUAAGUCAGCUGUGAAAUCCCCGGGCUUAACCUGGGAAUGGCAGUUGAGACUGGCAGGCUAGAGUGUGUCAGAGGGGGGUCGAAUUCCACGUGUAGCAGUGAAAUGCGUAGAGAUGUGGAGGAACACCGAUGGCGAAGGCAGCCCCCUGGGAUAACACUGACGCUCAAGCACGAAAGCGUGGGGAGCAAACAGG